RNAcentral lists this ribosomal RNA (690 nucleotides) under Escherichia coli 2-210-07_S3_C2. Its description in RNAcentral is "partial 16S ribosomal RNA". The stretch from base 1 to 577 matches the Rfam family "Bacterial large subunit ribosomal RNA", at positions 2354 to 2925 of the family's 2925-position model. Lineage: Bacteria; Pseudomonadati; Pseudomonadota; Gammaproteobacteria; Enterobacterales; Enterobacteriaceae. The record is from RNAcentral.
AUGGCAUAAGCCAGCUUGACUGCGAGCGUGACGGCGCGAGCAGGUGCGAAAGCAGGUCAUAGUGAUCCGGUGGUUCUGAAUGGAAGGGCCAUCGCUCAACGGAUAAAAGGUACUCCGGGGAUAACAGGCUGAUACCGCCCAAGAGUUCAUAUCGACGGCGGUGUUUGGCACCUCGAUGUCGGCUCAUCACAUCCUGGGGCUGAAGUAGGUCCCAAGGGUAUGGCUGUUCGCCAUUUAAAGUGGUACGCGAGCUGGGUUUAGAACGUCGUGAGACAGUUCGGUCCCUAUCUGCCGUGGGCGCUGGAGAACUGAGGGGGGCUGCUCCUAGUACGAGAGGACCGGAGUGGACGCAUCACUGGUGUUCGGGUUGUCAUGCCAAUGGCACUGCCCGGUAGCUAAAUGCGGAAGAGAUAAGUGCUGAAAGCAUCUAAGCACGAAACUUGCCCCGAGAUGAGUUCUCCCUGACUCCUUGAGAGUCCUGAAGGAACGUUGAAGACGACGACGUUGAUAGGCCGGGUGUGUAAGCGCAGCGAUGCGUUGAGCUAACCGGUACUAAUGAACCGUGAGGCUUAACCUUACAACGCCGAAGUGUUUUGGCGGAUGAGAGAAAGAUUUUCAGCCUGAUACAGAUUAAAUCAGAACGCAGAAGCGGUCUGAUAAAACAGAAUUUGCCUGGCGGCCUUAGCGCGG